Molecule: long non-coding RNA, 1985 nt
Organism: Chroicocephalus ridibundus (black-headed gull)
Lineage: Eukaryota; Metazoa; Chordata; Aves; Charadriiformes; Laridae
Exons: 4
Source: RefSeq, a predicted model, not a curated record
UCUCUAGUUCCUAAAUCCAAGCCCUAGCCCUAGUUUUCCCGGGAAGGUGGUCCCGUGGAGCCCGACAUGUCCUCCCCGGUUGGGUCUGUGAGGGAAUUCUUGUCACGGCUCAGGUCAAGGUGAGGCCUCAGUGCUGCCUAGGCCCCCGUGGUGGCGGUGGCACUCAGGACCAGUCACUACAUCCCAAAUGUCCCUCUGGGAGGCCUGGCCUGUGAGGGACUGGGCUCCUUGGCUCCAGGCAGACCAAGAAGCACAGCACCAGGGAAGUGCAGGACCAGCGAGCAGGACCACCAAGCCAGGCACGACCACCGAGAAAUUCCCAGUUCUUCAUUACUAUUUCUUGUGACAGAAGAUCAGCUGCUAAAACCCAGGCAUCAACAAAGGGACAGCAAUGCCAUCGGAGGUUUUAACAGGAGGUAUAUAGAUGCUACCCUCUAAGUUAGAGUCAAUGUCAUCAGAGGGAUUCCCUUUACCCACUACAAAUAUGGCCAAUUUGAAAUACUCAAGGAGAUCCAGAGAAAGGACAGGAUCCAUGGUCCAUGUGGAGCUCUCCGUUUGUGAUCAUCUCCUUCUAACCAGCAUGGGAGCAGAACCAUCUCAUGCAGUUUCUCCUCUAAGGAAAAGGCCAUCUGAACAGGGAAGAGUACGUUGCAUGCUAAUGGUGCCUGGCCAGUGGAACUGUGAAUCUGCAGAGGCUGCAAGAUACUUCAGAAGUUUAAUGUACUGCAAAAUACUCUGUUUCAAGCCAGGAUGUUCUUCGUCAUGAAGAACACCAGACAGAAGGAGGAAUUAGCCACAGCCAUUUCUUCCUCGGAGCAAAAUGGCAUAAACAAAGCUGGAAUUGAAAUUUUAGCCCAUGGGAAGAAAUUAAACAUACCUUUAAUAGACUGAGAUGUUCAGGUUCUGUGGUGAUGACUGCCAGAGAAUUGGCUGUUUGAAAUAUACAAUAAAACGCAUACAAUCAUCACAGAUUAAACUCAUAAAAUGCCUCUAGAAGAAGGAAUUAAACUCAAGCUUAUAUAAUUCAAUUUAAUUUCAUCAUAGUUUGUGUUAUGUAGUCAUCUAGUUUACUGGAAUGUUCUUUAAAUUUUGUCCAAACAAAUUAAAAAAAAAUAAUUUAGUCAGUGAGGCUCCCACAUAUUCUCUGGGAGAUUAUUCCUCGUUGUUUGCCAGGCUGCUCUCCUCUCCUUCUCCCCACCUCCAAUUCAUCCUAAAAUGUUCUUAUUAUUCUUUUUGAAGCAGCUUUAAUUGAAAAUUCCUCUUAGUUCUUCCCCCAACCUUUCUUUCUUUAUCAGACAGCCAGAGGGCGAGGUGUAUUAAUAGCAGCUGCAUGACUCAGAGUUGGUAGCUCAAGUGGAUCCCUUUGCACUGAGCUUUGCUGUUUGGCCUCCCUGGCUGCGUCGCCACCACGCUCAGGGAGCACCUUCACUUUCUUGCAAAAAAAAAAAAUAAAUAAACUGCAAAAGCACAGAGGGGGCUGGGACCGCCUCAACCCCUCUGUCCUUCGGAAGAAUUCUCCUUACUGCCGUUUUCUUCUCCAUCCCCACUGGGAUUGUGUAGGAAAAAAUGAAAAUAUGUGUAUAAAAAAAAAAAAGAAAAAAAAGAGUGUGAUUCCACACUUAGCGGUGGCUAAAGCAACCCUCUUUACCAGGAACUGCCUUCCAAUAUCACAACCUCAAAACUUCUUACCCCUCUAAUUUUGCAUCUUGUAGAUGGAUACAUAUUCUCACUCUCUUUAUGGCUUCACCUAAUUUUCUGAGAACCAACUUUUUUUUUUUUCCUGGCAGCUCUCUUAUCAUCAAGCCCUGCAAUGCUCUCUACUGCAAUGGCAGAAAUAGCCAGACCAGAACUUUUUCUUGUUGUCUCUACAAACACUUUUACACCGUGAGUCUUUCCCCCGACCCGAGUGAUGAAAAGGGAGCGCGGGUGCCACCACCGAGAAGGAAGAGGGGAGCAAGGGCCAGCGCUCUCCGCUCAAGAGCCAC